UUUAUUUUUAUUUAAUAAAAUAAUAAAAUAUUAUUUAUAUAUAAUAAAAUAAUAAUAAAACAAAUCUCAUUAAUAUUUGAACUGAUAUUUGAUCCUAAAUAUUCGAGAAUGAGAACCCAUUUAAAAAAAAAACAGCCGGGGAUUUGAGAGGAGCUUCUCAACUCAACCAACCAUGGCAACCGUGAUGACAUUUCAACCGUGAUGCGUGAUGCUCACAGUGAUGCUGGAAGUGGCAACCGUGAAGCAGAAAGGCGAGCAACUGGUGUUGUUAAUGGAGGACAGGGUCGGCACAACCUCACGAACUUGAAUACGCAGAUGUUGAAUGGACUUAGUUUGAGAGAUCCACCUCCUUUGAGUCCAUCAAGUAAAGAAACUAAGGCUUAUAACUCACCAGGAGAACCUGUAUAUGAAUACCUUGAAAGUGAAUCACCAUAUGUUCGUAAACCUUUAUAUGAUCAGAUUUUAAAUCUUGCAUCUAAAUUUCCUGGGCUCAACGUGUACAGAAGCUGUGAUAUAUUGUCGAUUACAUAUACACACAUACAUAUAUGUAUGUACAUAUAUAUAUAUUGGACAUUAGAGAGGUUCUUUUAUUAUUUACCACUUGUUUCUUUUUAUUUUUUGUAACAGUUUUAUGUAUGUGAUUUAGUCAUUAGAGUUGUUUGUGAUUCUUCAGUUGCGAUAAAAGAUAUGUUGAUAGUGGCGAUAGUGGGGUAAACUUUUAUGCCUAUAAAGUGUUUGAUAUAAUUCUUCGAUGACUUCUUCAAAUUGCCUAGAGCAGCAAGUACCCAUACACCAACAAUACAAGGAGUUGCAUUGGGAGACAGUUGGAUAUCUCCUGGAGAUUUUGUGGUAAAAAAACUAUGAUCUGAAUUUUCAAUUUCUUUUUGAUUUUACAACUAUGGGAAUCAAGUCAUUUCAAUGUUUGAUUUUACAGUUUUCAUGGGGUCCUCUUCUUAAAGAUGUGUCAAGACUUGAUGAUAAUGGAUUUAAGCAAUCACAAAGGUUCUUUUUUUAAAUUUGGUUCUUAUGUUCUUGAGAUUGGAAAAGCUUUUCUGGUAUCUAAUCAAAAACCCCAUUUCACAAAACAAUUUAUCUGAGAAGAUUAGGCAACUAAUUCAGGAGGGUCAGCAUAAGGAAGCAACAAAUUCAUGGGGUGAACUUGAAGGUGUUAUAAGCUCUAACAGCAAUGAAGUAGUACUUAUGAACAUAAAAUGUGGAAUCAUUUGUAUGAACAUUAUAUGACGUCAUGACCUUAAUUCUUUUCUUCUUUUUUUGUUGUUGUUGUGAUCAAUUUGAGGACUUUUAUAACUUUUUAUUGGUUUCAGGAAUGGACUCAAUUUCAUCAUCUUCAAUAACAGUACUUCAAUUGUCAAAAGAGAGUGCAUACAAGAGAUACUCAAGAUAUCUUAGUGUAUUGAGAUCAUCAUAUAUUGCAUUCAUUAUUUACUUUUAAUUGUCAAAAUUAUAAAUUAUAUUAUUUAAAUAUACAUAAUAAUAAUCUCACCUAAUAAUUAAUAAUAAUUUUUUUUUAAUUUUUAAUUGUAUCACUUUUAAAUAAAAUAGAAAAUACUUAGCAUAAAAUUUAAUAUACGUGCCUCGCACGUAGAUUUUUACUAGUAUAUAUAUAUAUAUCUAUACAUUUUAUCUUUUUUAGGUAAUUACAGAAGGAGCAACUCAUAUACAGUCUCACAUUUAUAUUAUCUUUUCUAGACAUUUUAUCUAUAUUUUUCUUUUUUAAAAAAUAAAUAAAAAAAUUAUUAAUAUUCUCCCAAGAUAGGUUUGUUAGAGAGAUAUGUAGCUAAGAUGAUUUUUUUAAUUUA
This is a long non-coding RNA of Cannabis sativa, 1820 nucleotides long. RefSeq lists it as uncharacterized. The record is from RefSeq and is a predicted model, not a curated record. Lineage: Eukaryota; Viridiplantae; Streptophyta; Magnoliopsida; Rosales; Cannabaceae. The transcript has 3 exons.